Molecule: non-coding RNA, 102 nt
Organism: Acanthosepion pharaonis
Lineage: Eukaryota; Metazoa; Mollusca; Cephalopoda; Sepiida; Sepiidae
Source: the annotation of a GenBank genome assembly
GGUCAUAAAACACCAGUUCUCAUAUGAUCCCCGAAGUUAAGCAACAUCGAUCUUGGUCAGUACUUGAAUGGGUGACAACAUCAGAAUACCAAGUACUGUAAG